Molecule: transfer RNA, 66 nt
Filed under: Cipangopaludina chinensis
Lineage: Eukaryota; Metazoa; Mollusca; Gastropoda; Architaenioglossa; Viviparidae
Description: tRNA-Leu
Source: RNAcentral
AUAAAGGUGGCAGAUUAGUGCAUUAGAUUUAAGCUCUAAAUAUAAAAAAAAUUUUUUUCUUUUAUA